This 745-nucleotide ribosomal RNA is filed under the name uncultured bacterium. RNAcentral describes it as "bacterial SSU rRNA". It matches the Rfam family "Bacterial small subunit ribosomal RNA", at positions 33 to 773 of the family's 1533-position model. The record is from RNAcentral.
ACGCUGGCGGCAGGCCUAACACAUGCAAGUCGAGCGGUAGAGAGAAGCUUGCUUCUCUCGAGAGCGGCGGACGGGUGAGUAAUGCCUAGGAAUCUGCCUGGUAGUGGGGGAUAACGUCCGGAAACGGACGCUAAUACCGCAUACGUCCUACGGGAGAAAGCAGGGGACCUUCGGGCCUUGCGCUAUCAGAUGAGCCUAGGUCGGAUUAGCUAGUUGGUGGGGUAAUGGCUCACCAAGGCGACGAUCCGUAACUGGUCUGAGAGGAUGAUCAGUCACACUGGAACUGAGACACGGUCCAGACUCCUACGGGAGGCAGCAGUGGGGAAUAUUGGACAAUGGGCGAAAGCCUGAUCCAGCCAUGCCGCGUGUGUGAAGAAGGUCUUCGGAUUGUAAAGCACUUUAAGUUGGGAGGAAGGGCAGUUGCCUAAUACGUAACUGUUUUGACGUUACCGACAGAAUAAGCACCGGCUAACUCUGUGCCAGCAGCCGCGGUAAUACAGAGGGUGCAAGCGUUAAUCGGAAUUACUGGGCGUAAAGCGCGCGUAGGUGGUUUGUUAAGUUGGAUGUGAAAUCCCCGGGCUCAACCUGGGAACUGCAUUCAAAACUGACUGACUAGAGUAUGGUAGAGGGUGGUGGAAUUUCCUGUGUAGCGGUGAAAUGCGUAGAUAUAGGAAGGAACACCAGUGGCGAAGGCGACCACCUGGACUGAUACUGACACUGAGGUGCGAAAGCGUGGGGAGCAAAC